RNAcentral lists this unclassified non-coding RNA (414 nucleotides) under fungal sp. Its description in RNAcentral is "partial internal transcribed spacer region". The stretch from base 1 to 46 matches the Rfam family "Eukaryotic small subunit ribosomal RNA", at positions 1786 to 1831 of the family's 1831-position model. Lineage: Eukaryota; Fungi. The record is from RNAcentral.
AAGUCGUAACAAGGUUUCCGUAGGUGAACCUGCGGAAGGAUCAUUAACACAUGAUUUUCAAAUAACCAAACGGCGCACCCUAGAUCCGACCCGGCUGAGGCUUGGGAGUAACGCGCAGUUCCUCCUCUGGAGGAAGGCUCCCAAGAUAUUUGUCCACACGGGCAGUGCAAACUGUUCGAAGUGAGGUGAUGCUCAGACUUUGUCGGUGCCCACAGCCUCUGCGAUGGCUGGCCCUUUUUUUGCUUUUUAACCUUACCUUUCUAGCACUUAGAAUGCUGGACUGUGCUCGAGGGGGAUUGAGCUCUUCAUGAGUUCUCCUUUUCCGAGGGCCUGCCUGGCGAUCCUUGAGUGAGUCCUCUGGGCUUUGCUCAUCGGAAUAAAACACAACUCUUAACAGCGGAUAUCUCGGUUCUC